Molecule: long non-coding RNA, 136 nt
Organism: Aricia agestis (brown argus)
Lineage: Eukaryota; Metazoa; Arthropoda; Insecta; Lepidoptera; Lycaenidae
Exons: 3
Source: RefSeq, a predicted model, not a curated record
AUAAGCGAUAGAUUUAUCGAGCAAAAUACUGUGUUGCCCCGAUGAAGUUAUUGAACAUCUUAUAGAAGACCUCGAUGUGUCAGCGCUGAAGACAAAACGAGUAUACUUAAGUUAACUUCGUUAACUUAAAGUUAUA